GGGGUUGUGGCUCAGUGGUGGAGUGCUCACCUAGCACAUGUGAGGCACUGGGUUCAAUCCUCAGCACCACA
RNAcentral lists this transfer RNA (71 nucleotides) under Marmota monax (woodchuck). Its description in RNAcentral is "tRNA.Ala". The record is from RNAcentral. Lineage: Eukaryota; Metazoa; Chordata; Mammalia; Rodentia; Sciuridae.